Molecule: long non-coding RNA, 1377 nt
Filed under: Anas platyrhynchos (mallard)
Lineage: Eukaryota; Metazoa; Chordata; Aves; Anseriformes; Anatidae
Description: lncRNA (ENSAPLG00020004220.1)
Source: RNAcentral
AUGGGGAGGGUGGUGACGCCCCUGGGUGUCACUGGGCAGCGCGUGGGGCAGCUGCUGGGUCCCAAGGGUGCAGGGCGGGUGCCCCCGGGAGGCUCGGGGCAGGUACCUGGGGUUCUGGGGGCGGCUCGGGCGUGCUCAGCUGGGGAGGGGUCGUGGAAGUCGAAAUUCAGCGUGUUGGAGCCGCGGUGGCGGAUGAUGGGCACCUGCUGCACGAGGACAGGGCGAAUGGGGGGGGGGGGUGAGGAGCAGCUCCCCAAAUCCCCCCUCAACAGGGGUCCUGCAGCCCCCGGCCCCACUCAGCCACAUCACCACGUGCUGGGGGGGGGUCCCCAUAACCCUGCUGGGGGGCACAGGGGCACGGCCUCCGGGCUCAGAGCCAGGAUAGGGCCCCCCAUGGGUCCCUAUAGGACCCCUCACGGUGGGUCUGUGCCCCCCCAGCCCCCUCGGCGCUCCCCCACUUGUUCUCCACGUGGCCACGGACGGAUCCAGCCCCCAGGCUUGGCACCACCUUCGGGAACCCCCCACCCAAACCCACGUCCCCCCACCACAAGCGGCCCCGUGCCCCCAGCUCCACCAGCUCCACUCCAGGGGCUCUGCCUGGGGGCCCCCAAAAUCCCCGUGAGCCUUUUAAGGGAAAAAAAAGACACCCAGGGGAGGGCUGGCGUGGUGGCCAAGUGGUGGCACAUCGUCCUGGCAUCCCGGUGCCAGCCACGUCCCCGCCGUGCCGUGCCGGGAGCCGCCAGGCGAAGCGCGCCCGGGCAUGUGGGGGCAGAAGGGGGGGGGGGAGCGGGCGCAGCCUCCCCCCCCGGGGCCGAGCAACGAAACAGAAAGUCCAAAAAGUAUUUUUCCCCACCCUGCCAAGCAAACAGGGAGGGGAGGAGGAGAAGCAGGAGGAGAGCAGCAGCGGGAGGAGUGGGAAGGGCGGCAGAGGCGCAGCUCAUGAGUCACCGCCGCAGCGCGCUGCCAGGGCUGCAGCAUGGGGCGGGGGCGCAGCAGGAUGGGGAUGGGACCCCCCCCCCCGUCCCCUUAACCCCCUUGUUCCCCCACUUUGGGGUGGCUCCGGCACGAGGGGAGCCCUUUGGGGUGCUGUCAGCACCCGUGUCCUGCUCGCCCCCUGCCCAGGAGCCCCCCGAGCAUCACCGUGCGCACCGGGCACGGCGGCGCCGCGUUGCGCCCCUCACCCGUGGGACCCCUCCGUGUGGGGUCUUGGGCACCUCGGGGGAUCCUGGCAUGGCCCCAAGCACCUCGCAGACCCCUCCUCAAAAAGCCAGCUGGCUGGGGAGCCCCUCCCGGCUGCCUUCUCACCCCCAGCACCCCGCAUGUCACCUACGUGGGACCCCCAGCCCCCCACUCCCACCAUCACCAGCUCCGCACUGA